Molecule: long non-coding RNA, 258 nt
Filed under: Elaeis guineensis (African oil palm)
Lineage: Eukaryota; Viridiplantae; Streptophyta; Magnoliopsida; Arecales; Arecaceae
Description: long non-coding RNA (EGUI_LNC022006)
Source: RNAcentral
GCGUGUGGGAUGAGAGAGAGUCCCAAUCCAACUGGAUCUCAAUUUUUAACUCUAAUUGAACUUGAUUUGAAUCUAAUCUAAUUUUAAAUUCAAUUAAGUUUAGUCAGAAUCGAAUUUGAUUAAGACUAGGCCUAAAUUAAAUCUAAUUUAAUUUAUAUUAAGUCCGAUCUUUAAUUAAAUGAUCAAAUCAAAUAAUUAAUGAUAAUUCAGCAAAUUACUAAUUAUUCUUCCUCUAACUCACUAAUUUUUAGCAAGUUC